Molecule: small RNA, 27 nt
Filed under: Bombyx mori (domestic silkworm)
Lineage: Eukaryota; Metazoa; Arthropoda; Insecta; Lepidoptera; Bombycidae
Description: ovarian small RNA-33170
Source: RNAcentral
UGAUUUACUAGUAGUAUCCGGCUUAGC